UAUGCUAGUGGCUACAUCUCACAUGCCUUUGCCCUGACAAAUUGUUAUCUGGGAGAGCCAGCCUCACUCUACAAUAAAUUUAGUCAUGGAUCGAAGACUGGACCGAUUGCAAGAAAUUUGCAUAAGAAUUCAUAAUACCCAUUUGACAUAUUUAGAAACCAACGAUAGUCCAUCAAAAAUCAAAGAACGCUACAAAUUAGAAGGUUUUAUCAACGAAUAUGUUGGUCUCGUCCCAAACGAAAAAAAAUAUGUAUUCCAAGAAACGUCUGAUAUUCUACUACGAUCUGCAGAAACAUUAGAAGGAUUUAGUGUUUAUCGUGCAAGUGAAGCAUGGUCGGCAAUUUCUAUAUACGCCUCGAAUCUCCUGGCUCAACCAUGGCGAAAAGAAUAUCGUUCUGUUCAAACUUAUAGUGGUUACUAUAAGCACGAAAUCGAAGCUAACUUGUUUCAAGCUGAACUUAUGUUCUAUUUAAUGGGAUACAAGAAAUCUGAACAUUCAGUUUUAACACUUGAUGGUCCUAUUGAUCCCGACAAAGUUUCAAAUGUUUCGAGAGAUGCAAUCGUUGCGUUUGUUGAAUGUCAAAUUCUUAAGAAAAUUUUUGAGACUGUUUCUAAAUCGUUCUCUAUAUCAUGGUUCGAUAUCAUAGAACAUCGAAGAAAAUUCGUUGGAACUGCAGAGCAAGCUAUUCGGAGUAUCCAUCAACUGCUGCAACGAGAUAAUCAAAACAAAAUGAAAUCAGAAAAUUAUCCACAGUAUUAUCAGAAACGAUUCAAUUCAACUACAUCAGACGAUACUUUCGAAGACAAUUUUAACGACUCAAGUGAUAAAAAAAUAUACGACGUUGUAGCUACUACCGAAUUUACACCAAAUUGUGCGUUCGCUUCUCGUUCUGUUUCUUGUGAAAUAAUAAAAACCGAUCGGCUAGUGAUAUCUGGUUCUCAGAACCAGUUAACAAAAAAUUUAACAAGUAAGAUAAUGCCUCAGUCUAAUAAAAGACAUGAAAAAUGUGACAACAGUUGUGAUUCAAGUCGUAAGAUUGGUCAAACUGACAUAAAUCUCAUUGACUAUUCCAUGAAAUACCUCUGUGAGAGGGACAUGUCUUUCGUUAGAACUUCCGUCCAUCAAAAUUCCAUCUCAAGUGAAUCUAACACUUUACAUCGGACAUCUGAAAAUACAAAACAUCCAAAUGAUCGAGAGUUGAUUUUCCAAGAAAAAAAAAAAGCUAGAAGGAAAAAUGACGAUUCGGCUAUUAGCGUCGAGCGGCUUCAUCGCCACUGGUUCGAUCCUCAAAUAACAUUCUUGAAUACCGUUGAGAAAAAAAUGUCGAGUAACCCAGAAUUACAAAAAAAUUUGAAGUCAUCAUUAAACUUAAUCGAUCUUAAUAAAAUAUCUCAGAAAGUUGAAAUAGACGAAUCACAUCGAUUGAAAAGCGCUACACAACUAUAUGAAAAGGCUGACAAAUUUUCUAUUGAGUCUAAUAAUGAGCACCAAAAUAUCGGAUAUCAUGAAUGGAAUUGUCUAUUUUGUACAUUUAUCAAUACAACUCAAGCCGAAAUUUGUCAAAUGUGUGGAAAAUCUAGACGAAGCGUACCAAACGAAAAACCUCUAGAAAGUGGGAGUAAACAGUGCCCAAACUUUGAUGUGUAUAUCAUAUUCAGUUCAGAGAGACUUGGUUAUUGUAAAAAAGAAAAGUGAGGUUAAACCCAGAGUUGACAGUCGACAUUUUUGUUGUUGAUAUGUCAUAUAUAUACCAAUUUUAACAAUGGAUCAUCCUGAAUUUGAAGUUUAGAAACAUUUUGAUGUUGUUGCAAAUCCUGAAUGCAAAUACACGACAGGAAGUUGUAAAUAUUGUGGAAAAAAAUAUGUUUCAAAUGUUGGUAGAAUGAUGAAGCAUCUUGCUCAAGAAUGUCAAAAUUGUGAUGAUGAAAUUAAAAAAAAUUUUAUGAAAAUGAUUGUGCCAAAUAAUAAACCUGAUGUCAGAUCUCAUCUGAGCAAGUUGUAGCACUAAUUGCAAAGAACAAAACAACUCAAAACAAAGGCUCAAUUGACAAGUUUAUUGAUACUAAAAUGUCCAAAGAAAAUCAUGAUAAAUUGACUGCUUCUUUUGCAAAUAUUCAUACAAAAAACAGAAACUCAUUAUUAAAUGAUCGUACUCAAAAACUCGUUCGUAUCAAACACAAUUUACGACUCGUUGAACCUGCUCGAUUAACAAUAUCACCAGUAAGAAAAAAAUCAUUAGUAACAAAAAAUGAUACGAGUUUUGAAGAAUUUGUUGGAGAAAUAUCUGAUUGGGAAGAUGAAGGUUGGGACGAUUGUUCUCUUCAUGAUGAUAAAAGUAAAAACAAAAUUUAAUUGUUGACCAAAAAAAUUGAUAAGUUUUUUAAAGUGAAGAGCUUGAAUUAUCAUUAUUGUUCUUAAAAAAGGGUUACAAGUUUAAACUUUUAAAGUUCAAAGAACACCAAAAAUUAAUCAUAUAAAAUUUAAAAACAUAUCGAGUUUUUAGUUGAGUUUGUCAUUUUUUUUUCUUUGAGAAUAUUGCUUCUUUUUUUGUCCUUUGUUUUUCAUUUCUACUUUGAUCUUUUUAUAUUUGUUUUUAAGGAUACUGGUAGAAACAUUUCUCCGUCUUUUCUCCAACUUCUUUCCAACUUUUCUCCGUCAUUUCUCCACCUUUUUACGAAAAUGACCCAUGGUUGGAGAAAUGGCGGACAAAUUUCUCCAACCUUUCUUCAACCAAAAAUUUACUCCAACUUUUUUCCGACUUUUCUCCAACUUUUUUCUGCUAUUUCUCCAACCUGAAAUGUACUCCAUAUUUUUUCCAACCAUUCUUCAACCAAAAAUUUACUCCAACUUUUUUCCAACUUUUCUCCAACCAUGGGUCAUUUCCGGAAAAAGGAGGACAAAGUUGGAAAAAAGGCGGAGAAAGUUGGAAAAAGUUGGAGAAAUAUUUCUGCCAGGGCUUUUUUCAUCUUGCUAUAUAGCAAUAUAUAGCUAAUUUGUACCCGUUUUUUUAUCAUUUUUAUUAAGGUUCAAACUAACGCUUUGCUUAGUACAAAUCAACCCAUGUCAAAACAAAGACAAAAAAACAAAAUUAUUGGAUAUUUAUAGAAAAUAUCAAGAGGCACGGUAGUGCCUCGCGUCAAGUUUGAGAAAAAAAAAAAAGUGGGAUAAACGAGAUUAACUACCGUGCCUAUAUAUUAUCGGCAUAGAGCUAACCCUAACCCUCUAAUUCCUUGGGAAUUUAUUUUAAAAUAUGAUUGAUCAGAUAAAAAUGAUAUGACUUCUAAUCAUUUCAUUGAAUCAAUAUCACACUUUUUUAUAAAAAAAAAAAAAAAUUUUUUUAGAUGUAUACUUUUUUUUUAAACUUUAAAAUCAAUUUCAGAAAUUGCUUUUUUCUUGAUAUUUCU
RNAcentral lists this unclassified non-coding RNA (3405 nucleotides) under Aphidius gifuensis. RNAcentral describes it as "uncharacterized LOC122849264, transcript variant X5". The record is from RNAcentral. Lineage: Eukaryota; Metazoa; Arthropoda; Insecta; Hymenoptera; Braconidae.